Molecule: ribosomal RNA, 609 nt
Filed under: Salmonella enterica subsp. enterica serovar Enteritidis
Lineage: Bacteria; Pseudomonadati; Pseudomonadota; Gammaproteobacteria; Enterobacterales; Enterobacteriaceae
Description: partial 23S ribosomal RNA
Rfam family: Bacterial large subunit ribosomal RNA
Source: RNAcentral
AAUCCAUAGGUUAAUGAGGCGAACCGGGGGAACUGAAACAUCUAAGUACCCCGAGGAAAAGAAAUCAACCGAGAUUCCCCCAGUAGCGGCGAGCGAACGGGGAGGAGCCCAGAGCCUGAAUCAGCAUGUGUGUUAGUGGAAGCGUCUGGAAAGGCGCGCGAUACAGGGUGACAGCCCCGUACACAAAAGCGCAUGUGCUGUGAGCUCGAUGAGUAGGGCGGGACACGUGGUAUCCUGUCUGAAUAUGGGGGGACCAUCCUCCAAGGCUAAAUACUCCUGACUGACCGAUAGUGAACCAGUACCGUGAGGGAAAGGCGAAAAGAACCCCGGCGAGGGGAGUGAAAAAGAACCUGAAACCGUGUACGUACAAGCAGUGGGAGCCCCACCACCAAAGCAUUUGCUGUACCGCGUUGACGGAGCGAAGCGACGUCAAACCGAUAAAACAGCAGUGUAAAGUGAGCCGCAGGGCGCUUUGCGCGACAGCGCAAAGGCAGGCGGUUUCGCGUAGCGAAAGCGAAUGCUUUGGGGUGGGGUGACUGCGUACCUUUUGUAUAAUGGGUCAGCGACUUAUAUUCUGUAGCAAGGUUAACCGAAUAGGGGAGCCGGAGG